AAGAAAAAAAAAAAACUCGUGGUAAUAAAUAAUAUCGCCAAUGACAAAGAGACUGGACUAUAGCAUAAAACUUCCUAUCAUAAGUGGAUUACCUUUGUUUAGCUUCAUUAAGUUUUUCACUAAGGAAUGCUAUAGGAUGACCUUCUUGACUCAAGACACAUCCAAUACUAACGCCUAAAACAUCACAAGCAACUUCAAAAAUUUUAUCAAAAUUAGGAUGCCCUAAAACAGGUGCUUCAGUUAUUUUCAACUUAAUAUCAUCUAAGGCUUUAAUAGCAGCUUUAGUCCAAUUAAACUCUCAUUUCUUAAGACAAUCAUUAAUAGGAGUCAUGAUUGAACUAAAUCCCCUAAUGAACUUUCUAUAAAAAGUAGCCAAUCCAUGAAAACUACGUACCUCAGAAAUUGUUUUAGGCAUAGGCCACUCUUUAAUAACUCUUUAUCUUUUUAGGAUCAGCUGCUACACCUUGCGCAGACACAAUAAAACCUAAGAAAAGCACUUUAGAUUGCAUAAAAGAACCCUUCUUAAGGUUAAUAUAUAAUUUUACUUCCUUUAGCGUAUUAAAAACCUGUCAAAGUUGAUCCAAAUGCUCUUUUUUAGAUUUACUGUAGAUUAAAAUAUCAUCAAAAUAAACUACCAAAAACUUACCAAUGAAAGAUUGUAAAACAUGAUUCAUGACACACAUAAAAGUACUAGGUGCAUUAGACAAUCCAAAAGGCAUCACUAACUAUUCAUACAAUUCUUCUUGGGUUUUAAAAGUAGUUUUCCAUUCAUCUCCUGGUCUAAUCCUGAUUUGAUGAUACCUACUACGUAAGUUAAUUUUAGAGAACACACAAGAUCCUGCAAACAAGUCCAACAUAUCCUUAAGUCUAGGAAUUAGGAACUUAUAUUUAAUAGUAAUCUUGUUUAUGGCUCUAUUAUCCACACACAUUCUCCAAGAACCAUCUUUCUUAAGUGUCAUGAGUGCAGGAACAGCACAUGGACUAAGACUAUACCUAAUAAAUCCCUUUAUCACAAGUUCUUCAACUUGCCUAUUUAAUUCAACUCGCUCCAUAGGGUUCAUCCUAUAAUGAGGAAGAUUAGGUAACUGUGAUCCAGGAGCAAAGUCAAUAGCAUGCUGAAUAUCUCUCAUUGGUGGUAACUCACUAGGUAACUCAUUAGGCAUAAUGUCGGAGAACUCUUCUAACUAGUAUUUUACCUCAGAGGAGGUGUCAGGUCUAGAAUCACAAGGGACCUCUUUAGCUAUGACAGUUAAGCAAUAUUUACUUUCCCUUCAUACCUUAUCAAAAGCCACAUGAUUCAAGAGCCACAUGAUUCAAGAUAGUAAUUUUCUUUUGAGCCUUAAGUGAAGACUUAGGCUUUGGGUUUGAAGAUGAGGAGUUCUUUUGGGAAGGUUUGAUAGGUGUCAAAAUGAUUUUGUUUCCAUUAAACUUAAACACAUAGGUGUUGUCCUUAUCAUGGUUACGCACAUAAUGAUUAUAAAGCCAAGGGCGACCUAAAAGAAUAUAACCAACAUCCAUAGGUAAAAUAUCACAAUAAAUUUCAUCUUUCUAAUGAUCCAUUUGUAUGGGAACAAGACAUCUUUCAGUUAUAGGCAAAGUUGUAUUAGUCACCAAGUAACCCUAAAAAGUUUAUGAUGUGGCUCUACCUUAAGGUUAAGUCUAUCAAUGGCUUACUUAGCUACUACAUUCAUGGUGCUUCCCUCAUCAAUUACCAACUUGCUUGACUUAUCUCCACUUUUAACAAAAGUAUGAAAG
RNAcentral lists this unclassified non-coding RNA (1755 nucleotides) under Hevea brasiliensis (rubber tree). Lineage: Eukaryota; Viridiplantae; Streptophyta; Magnoliopsida; Malpighiales; Euphorbiaceae. The record is from RNAcentral.